Long non-coding RNA from Pan troglodytes (chimpanzee), 503 nucleotides. RefSeq lists it as uncharacterized. The transcript has 3 exons. The record is from RefSeq and is a predicted model, not a curated record. Lineage: Eukaryota; Metazoa; Chordata; Mammalia; Primates; Hominidae.
GAAAACAAAAUGAAACCUUUCUCGGGUGAAAGAAAAUGGAGAGAAUUUGUCACCAGCAGACCUGCUCUAAAAUAAAUGCUAAAAGAAGUUAUUCAGGAUGGAAGAAAAUUAUACCAGAUACUAAAGACUUCAGGAAUGAAGAAAGAGCAACAGAAAUGGCAAAUAGCUGGGCAAAAAUGGACUGUUUGGUGAUGGAGGCUGAGCGGAGGUGGGCUAAAAGGAAUAGAAGGAGAGUAACUGGUGAAGAAGGAGCAAAGAGUGAGGCACAAAAUGAAGUCUCACCAUGUUGCCCAAGCUGGUCUCAAACUCUUGGCCUCCAGAAAUCCUCCAACUUCAGCCUCCCAAGAUGCUGGGAUUACAGGUAAUAGCCACUGUGCCCAGUUAAGGCGCAACUUCUUUAUGGAGCUUUUCUUUACUUCUCCAAGCAAAAUUAGUUGCUCCCUUCUCUAUGUUCUCUGUACAUUUUAGUUUGUACCAUAUAAAAUUGCCUCUAUGUAACCAUU